GGGCCCGCACAAGCGGUGGAGCAUGUGGUUUAAUUCGAUGAUACGCGAGGAACCUUACCAAGGCUUAAAUGUAAAACGACCGGUUGAGAGAUCAACCUUUUUUCGAACGAUUUACAAGGUGCUGCAUGGUUGUCGUCAGCUCGUGCCGUGAGGUGUCGGGUUAAGUCCCAUAACGAGCGCAACCCCUAUUUCUAGUUGCCAGCGAGUAAUGUCGGGAACUCUAGAGAGACUGCCCGUGCAAACGGAGAGGAAGGUGGGGAUGACGUCAAAUCAUCACGGCCCUUAUGUCUUGGGCUACACACGUGCUACAAUGGUCAAUACAGUGGGAUGCCAUCUGGUGACAGAGAGCAAAUCCAUAAAGUUGAUCCCAGUUCGGAUCGGAGUCUGCAACUCGACUCUGUG
RNAcentral lists this ribosomal RNA (402 nucleotides) under uncultured bacterium. RNAcentral describes it as "bacterial SSU rRNA". It matches the Rfam family "Bacterial small subunit ribosomal RNA", at positions 917 to 1322 of the family's 1533-position model. The record is from RNAcentral.